CAGAGGGGUGGGGGGAGCAGACCUGCUCCCCCCUCCCCUCUGUAUUUCUUGUCAUAUAAGUUACUGCUCAUGAACCCAGAGCACUCACACGCAGACCCUCUUACAGAGUGAACCUUGUCUUCUCCUGUGUUCUCUGUUAUUUGUGUUGAGGAAAUACACAAAAAGCUUAUUUUCAUCGGAAGCUGCAGGUUGGUUCCUUGUUUUGUUUUUUCAUCAAGCUCUUGAUACAACGAAAGAUCACCACCGACUGACGGGAUGGGGUUUGGCGCACCAGGGUUCGCCACAUCUGCGAGCGGUGGCCCCAUUCGCCUUCUGUUCGACAGUUUUGCUCAAUUCUGCCAGAACUUCACUGAGGGGAAUAGCGGCUCAGGAAAUGGAGUUCAAUCUAACAAACCUAAAUCUGAAGAACAAGCAGCAAAAAGUGAAAAAGUAAGAGAUAUGGAUUCAUCUGAAUUGGAAGGAACAUUACACGUGGGAGCCAGUGGAAUGUCUAAAGAGGAGGAAAUGGCCAUUGAACUGAUGAACCAGCAGACAAACCAGGCGACAAACAACGAUCAAGAUGAGGAUGAUGUAAAACGCAGAAAGAGCGAAAGCGCCACCACUGUCAGCAGCGUGAGCGAAAAUGACACCACUGCCAGCAGUUUGGGGAUCGAGAGCGAGGAGUACAGCACCAGCUUCGCCACGAGCGACAAGGAGAGUAGCGACGGGGAAGGCUAUUUGCCCGGUGCGCUUCUCAAUGUCAGGUCCAUGUCCAAACACAUUGAUGAGGUACUAGAAGUCAUCGAAAAUCACAAAUUAGACUUCCUUUGCACCACGGAGACCUGGUUAAACCCUUCAAAUUACAAUACGGUGCUCUCGGCCGCUAGUCCCUCUACCUUUAAGUUCCACCAUGAGGCCGGACAGGAUGAGCCCGUCCGCGGCGUGGAGGGCACAGUAUAUGGCGGCGUGGCCAUCCAAUACAAGGAUGAAAACAAGGAAAAAGAACAGGAAAGAAUAUGUUUUAGCCCAACUUUCAAACCAGUGUUUGAUAUUGUGGCCAUGGUCCUGGAAAACGACAAGUUGGAAGUUCCCGUCGUCCUGGUCAACUUGUACAUUUCUCCCAAAAAAAUAAAGGCACAUUUUGGUGAGUUUGUACGCCACUUCGAAGAGCUGCUGUGCAUUUUGAAAAAGAAGGGGUAUGACCACGUCAUCAUCACAGGUGAUUUCAAUAUCCACAUGGACAACCCCGAAGAUCCCUCGGUCCAAACGUUUUGUGACCUGUUGGUUAGAUUGGGUCUGAAUCAACAUACCCAUGGGGCAACACGUUAUCCAGGGGGACACACACUGGACCUGGUCAUCACCUUGGAUGUGGCUAUUCGCAAAAUGAAAAAAGUAUAUAACAAAAAACUCUCGGAUCAUUGUCUUAUUUUAUUCGAAGCCAGACCAGUCACCAGACGGAGAGACGUAAAAAAGUAA
This 1455-nucleotide long non-coding RNA is filed under the name Gadus morhua (Atlantic cod). Its description in RNAcentral is "lncRNA (ENSGMOG00000031626.1)". Lineage: Eukaryota; Metazoa; Chordata; Actinopteri; Gadiformes; Gadidae. The record is from RNAcentral.